Hibiscus syriacus is the source of this 2029-nucleotide RNA transcript. RefSeq lists it as uncharacterized. The transcript has 3 exons. The record is from RefSeq and is a predicted model, not a curated record. Lineage: Eukaryota; Viridiplantae; Streptophyta; Magnoliopsida; Malvales; Malvaceae.
UUUAGUAUAGGUUCUUCCUUGUUCUUUGUUAUUAUCCAAUUCUCAGCAUCCUAAAUUCCAUUACCACAUCUAUCCUUCAUCCUUCAUUAUUCGAUUUUGUUCAUAACCAUAUCCAUAUUAUACCACCAUCUUUAUUAUUAUCAAGUAAUUUUGAUGUAGAGGAAUUAUUUACUUCGUUCUAGAUCUGAUACAAUCGAAGAGGUCCUCAAUCGACGGGCUGACUCAUAUCAUAUGGUAUCAUAACAAAGGUGAACCAAGUAAGAAAUUCAUCUUGAAAAAAAAAAGAAUUCCAAAAAUUAAAAAAGAAUUCCGAAAAUUAAAAAAAAAAAAAGUUUUAGUCUUGAGAUGAAGAGAAAUGCUAUGAUGUUGUGCUCUUCAAUGUUGAAAUGCUUUGAGCUUUGAUUCAAUCCAAAACGCAGCAUCUUUGUUUGUAUUGGUGAAAGUCUCAUUGUAAGCAUUUCUUUGUAGUAAGUUUACUAAUUAUUUUCAUCUUCUUUUCUUUAUUUUCCUUUGAAUUUUUAGCCUUCCUUUCAUUAUUUUCCAGUUUCUUUUAAUCUUUGUUGUUUCCUAUAGCCGACACACUUGACAGAUUUAUGAAAGAUCAAAUUUAGUUUGUAAAAGAACUGACUACGAGGGAACGAGUGGAAAAGGAACAUUGAGUGUGUGAGAUCAGAAGGGGAGAUAGAAAAGAGCCAUUAAAAGUUUCUCCCGAGUGAAACACGAGUGUUGAGUGAUUGAGUGUCAAUUCUGAUUUCUUUGGAGUGAAAUUGUGAGAAUCUUUGUGUGUAUAUUGUAAGGUCCUAUAUACAUUAAUUAUUUUCUUUGUGUGUUGUUUCGUUUUAUUUGAAUUAAUAUUGCAGGUUCUAGUGAUAACCAUCCAGAUGACCAACCACCAAAUUUGCAAAUGCAAGCCAUUACACGUGAGAUACAAAGGAUGAUAAGGGCUGAGCUUGAGAAUCUAUAUUCUAUAAUGGAUAAGAUUGAAGGAGAAUCCCAAACGCAUCAUAAUGAAGAGAUUAAUGAUGAAAACGAAAUUGACCAACCUCCAAGACCAACUCAGAGACAUGGACGUACACUUGAUGAUAAUUUGGCUAACAUAAAAGUUGUGAUUCCAUCUUUUCAGGGACGAACAUAUCCCGAUGCAUAUUUGGCGUAGGAGAGUAAAGUUGAGCAUGUUUUUUAGUGUUAUAAUUACUCGGAACAAAAGAAGGUUCAUUUGGCAGCAAUGGAGUUUGUUGAUUACGCUCUCAUUUGGUGGGAUCAAUUGCUGAUCAAUAGACGAAGAAUCGGUGAGGGUCCAGUGAACACGUGGACAGAAAUGAAGCGAAUCAUGAGGAAACGGGUUGAAUUUUGAAAUUGCUAACAUUGUUGAGUUACAGCAUUAUGUCGAGUUAGAUGACAUGGUGCAUAUGGCCAUCAAAAUUGAAAGACAACAGCAUAGAAAGUCUUCUUACCGAGGAACACCAAGUGCUCAGCCCCCUGAUGGUCGGUUUUUAAGGGAUGUUUUGAACCCAAUUCCAGCACAUAACACAACAAUGUGGGUUAUUAAAGAAUGUAGGACGUUUUGGCAGCUUAUGAAACAACAAGGAAGCUCCUAGAACAUGCCCAUAAAUGCACGGAUAAUGGACCAUUAUCAAACACAUUUCCAGCUCACCCAAAUCAGCACCAAAACGUGCAAUCAUUUCAUGAUAGAAUUUGAGCAUAGUGGACUUGGCUGGAAUUACAUUAGCUUUGUCCUUAUUAUGAUUCCACUGACUUGAGCAUAUGGAGAAGACCAUCCACGUGUAUUUGUUGUUGGGAGAUCCUUCAUAUAGAUUGCACAAAGACAACCCAUGUGCGUAAAGAACAAAGGCACAAAAACAACCCAUGUGCAUUGAUUCAAUCUUGUCUCCUAAUAAUGCACAUGGCCAGCACACAUUCUGUACACAAGCAAUCACUACCAGAUUUUCUAAGGACACCCAUGUGAAGCCAUAUGACCAGAAAAUAAUGGGAGAGACGUGAAACUAUAGUUGGAAGUGAUUUGAAGAAA